GGAUGUAGCCAAGUGGAUCAAGGCAGUGGAUUGUGAAUCCACCAUGCGCGA
Molecule: transfer RNA, 51 nt
Filed under: Proboscidea fragrans
Lineage: Eukaryota; Viridiplantae; Streptophyta; Magnoliopsida; Lamiales; Martyniaceae
Also listed under: 4 other names
Description: partial tRNA-His
Source: RNAcentral